UACAGAGGGGGCAAGCGUUAUUCGGAAUUAUUGGGCGUAAAGGGCGCGUAGGCGGCUUGGCAAGUGGAUGGUGAAAUCCCUCGGCUUAACCGAGGAACUGCCGUCCAAACUGCUUCGCUUGAGACCGGGAGAGGUGAGUGGAAUUCCCAGUGUAGCGGUGAAAUGCGUAGAUAUUGGGAGGAACACCAGUGGCGAAGGCGGCUCACUGGACCGGUACUGACGCUGAUGCGCGAAAGCGUGGGAGCAAACGGG
RNAcentral lists this ribosomal RNA (252 nucleotides) under uncultured bacterium. RNAcentral describes it as "partial 16S ribosomal RNA". It matches the Rfam family "Bacterial small subunit ribosomal RNA", at positions 524 to 776 of the family's 1533-position model. The record is from RNAcentral.